Molecule: unclassified non-coding RNA, 630 nt
Filed under: Hevea brasiliensis (rubber tree)
Lineage: Eukaryota; Viridiplantae; Streptophyta; Magnoliopsida; Malpighiales; Euphorbiaceae
Source: RNAcentral
GCGAGGGGUGCUCAAUAAGAGGAAGAGGGGGAGGGCGGCGGAGCUGAGGAGGAUAUUUACGAGGUUGGGGCCUACGUUUGUGAAGAUAGGGCAGGGGUUGUCGACUAGGCCGGAUAUUUGUCCGCCGGAGUUCCUCGAGGAGCUCGCCGAGCUGCAGGAUGCAUUGCCCACCUUUCCAGAUGCCGAGGCUUUUUCAUGCAUUGAGAGGGAGCUGGGGUUACCACUUGAUUCAAUUUACUCAUCCAUAUCACCUUCUCCAAUUGCAGCGGCCAGUUUAGGCCAAGUUUACAAAGCUCAACUCAGGUAUUCUGGACAGAGUGUUGCUGUCAAGGUGCAGAGACCUGCCAUUGAAGAAGCUAUAGGCCUUGAUUUUUAUCUGAUUAGGGGUCUGGGUUUUCUUAUUAAUAAAUAUGUCGACUUUGUUACAACUGAUGUCGUUGCGCUUGUUGAUGAGUUUGCACGAAGGGUUUACCAAGAGCUCAAUUAUGUACAGGAAGGUCAGAAUGCACGGAGAUUUAAGAAGUUAUAUGCAGACAAACAAGAUGUACUAGUGCCUGACAUAUUCUGGAAUUACACUAGUGCAAAAGUAUUGACAAUGGACUGGGUGGAAGGUGUCAAACUGAAUGAGCA